This 413-nucleotide long non-coding RNA is filed under the name Pan troglodytes (chimpanzee). Its description in RNAcentral is "long non-coding RNA NONPTRT015033". The record is from RNAcentral. Lineage: Eukaryota; Metazoa; Chordata; Mammalia; Primates; Hominidae.
AAACAAGUAAAUGGACCUCUUUUUGACCUGUUUGGAAAUUGUUCUUAGUUACGCGAGAAUGCACUUCAGGCAUGUUAUCUGAGAAUUGGUGAUCAGUUAAUAUAAAUUUUUAAAAAUGUUAAAUUCUCUCCACUUUUUCCCUCUUACGUUCUUCCUAUUUUCGAAGCAGUGUCCAUUUCCAGGGCUGGCAGUGGCAUACACAUAGACCCUCACAGCAUGCGGACCUCAUUCCCUCUAUACACAGUGCCAGAGAUGUAGAGAAGUGUUUGCCCGGGGACUAAAUGUUAGUCACAAAAGCUGAUGCUUGAAAUGAUGUGUUGAACUGGGCCAGCAAUAAGUACUAAAACCUGAGUACAGAUAGAAGUGGCCUUGUAUUCUUUCAUAACAUUUUCUCCUCUUGAGACUACAUGUAG